GAUGAACGCUGGCGGCGUGCCUAAUACAUGCAAGUAGAACGCUGAAGCUUGGUGCUUGCACCGAGCGGAUGAGUUGCGAACGGGUGAGUAACGCGUAGGUAACCUGCCUCUUAGCGGGGGAUAACUAUUGGAAACGAUAGCUAAUACCGCAUAAAAGUCGAUAUCGCAUGAUAUUGAUUUGAAAGGUGCAAUUGCAUCACUAAGAGAUGGACCUGCGUUGUAUUAGCUAGUUGGUGAGGUAACGGCUCACCAAGGCGACGAUACAUAGCCGACCUGAGAGGGUGAUCGGCCACACUGGGACUGAGACACGGCCCAGACUCCUACGGGAGGCAGCAGUAGGGAAUCUUCGGCAAUGGGGGCAACCCUGACCGAGCAACGCCGCGUGAGUGAAGAAGGUUUUCGGAUCGUAAAGCUCUGUUGUAAGAGAAGAACGAGUGUGAGAGUGGAAAGUUCACACUGU
Molecule: ribosomal RNA, 460 nt
Filed under: Streptococcus parasanguinis
Lineage: Bacteria; Bacillati; Bacillota; Bacilli; Lactobacillales; Streptococcaceae
Description: bacterial SSU rRNA
Rfam family: Bacterial small subunit ribosomal RNA
Source: RNAcentral